Gambusia affinis (western mosquitofish) is the source of this 233-nucleotide long non-coding RNA. RefSeq lists it as uncharacterized. The record is from RefSeq and is a predicted model, not a curated record. Lineage: Eukaryota; Metazoa; Chordata; Actinopteri; Cyprinodontiformes; Poeciliidae. The transcript is spliced from 3 exons.
CCACGGCCUCGCUCUGACUGCUCCUCCGUGCCUGGCCACAGAAAGCAUCAAUCACUUCAGUCUCACAAGACACAAAACUGGAUGCAGAGCUACAAGUUCAGCCACACAGGAAAACAACUGGACACCCAUCAGGGUCCAACAUAAAGACUGAAGGACUGCAGGCUUGCCAGGAUCUGGCUCUCUAUUGCUGUCACCCAGGAAUCCCUCUCCUCCAGACUCUGCGCCUCAAAGUG